RNAcentral lists this ribosomal RNA (497 nucleotides) under uncultured bacterium. RNAcentral's name for it is "partial 16S ribosomal RNA". It matches the Rfam family "Bacterial small subunit ribosomal RNA", at positions 28 to 507 of the family's 1533-position model. The record is from RNAcentral.
GAUGAACGCUGGCGGCGUGCCUAAUACAUGCAAGUCGAGCGAACAGACGAGGAGCUUGCUCCUCUGACGUUAGCGGCGGACGGGUGAGUAACACGUGGAUAACCUACCUAUAAGACUGGGAUAACUUCGGGAAACCGGAGCUAAUACCGGAUAAUAUAUUGAACCGCAUGGUUCAAUAGUGAAAGACGGUUUUGCUGUCACUUAUAGAUGGAUCCGCGCCGCAUUAGCUAGUUGGUAAGGUAACGGCUUACCAAGGCGACGCUGCGUAGCCGACCUGGGAGGGUGAUCGGCCACACUGGAACUGAGACACGGUCCAGACUCCUACGGGAGGCAGCAGUAGGGAAUCUUCCGCAAUGGGCGAAAGCCUGACGGAGCAACGCCGCGUGGGUGAUGAAGGUCUUCGGAGCGUAAAACUCUGUUAUUAGGGAAGAACAAAUGUGUAAGUAACUAUGCACGUCUUGACGGUACCUAAUCAGAAAGCCACGGCUAACUACGUG